Long non-coding RNA from Cyprinus carpio (common carp), 943 nucleotides. RefSeq lists it as uncharacterized. The record is from RefSeq and is a predicted model, not a curated record. The transcript has 3 exons. NCBI's taxonomy places the organism in Eukaryota, Metazoa, Chordata, Actinopteri, Cypriniformes, Cyprinidae.
AUUUUACAAAUCACUGUACUACUUUGUACUACAUUCUCCAGAUACUUUAGGCAUCCUUGACAAUGAUAUUUGCGAUGUAAGCAACAGUUUACAACACAGAAGUAUGAGGACGCAACACAACAGCAUUCCUUGUUGUACACAAGUACCCUGGAAAAAUCAAAAUGGGAGAUGAAGUGUCUGUUUCAGUGACACCAAAAGGCUCAAUCUCGUCACACACAAAUCAAAGCAGUGCACCACAGUCGAAGCUAAGGAAUGUCUGAUGGAAGUAUGGGAUGAAUGAAUGAAAACGCUCCUCCUCCUUCACCAGGACUGGCAACUGAAGUGAUUAAAGUAAAAAGUGUCAUCUUUAAUCCUCUCAGCAGAGGCCUUCUGAUGAUAAGGCUAGUAUAUGGAAAUGAGGAGGGUCGGCGGCAGGCUGGUAACCGGACCCCCCUGUAAUAAGGAUGAAGAAUGAUAAUUUGAAUUUGGAGAUUAAUGGAUUAUCUGGAAAAGGCUUGUCACAGUGCCACAGCCAAUGACCUUUUCAGAUUGACGGAUGACUCCAUUUUACCUGAACGAAUUCUCCAGUUCAAGGGGCGGUAUGGCCACACUCUCUUCCCUUUUUGAUCUGAGAUUGAGAAAAGCUUUUUGGUAUGUAUUGGAAUGUCAGAGUGAACUGUGAAAAAAUUAUCAGAUAGAUUUUUUUGGCACUCUAUCAGCCAUAAAGUUCAACAUAAGGAGACGGUAUUGUUUUAUCCACUGCUAGAAUUUCCCAGAAAGGUCAGUAGUCAGUACCCAAAGGCUAUACAUGAUACUUGUGCAUGAUUACAAUGUCAAACGUUUACGGUGACUAUUGCUUUCUGUGAUUGAAAAGAAGAGACAAUAUAACAAGGAAGAGACAGACAGAAGUCAGAUGCUCCUUGAUUUAAGUCCUGCCUUUUUUUUUUUUUUUUUUUUUUUUUAA